GACGAACGCUGGCGGCGCGCUUAACACAUGCAAGUCGAGCGAGAACCAGGGCUUCGGCCCUGGGGACAGCGGCGAACGGGUGAGUAACACGUGGGUAACCUGCCCUCGGCACCGGAAUAGCCCGGGGAAACCCGGAUUAAUGCUGGAUAGCCUCACGGACUCUCGGGUCUGUGAGAAAAGGCAGCUUCGGCUUCCGGCUGAGGAUGGGCCCGCGGCCGAUUAGCUUGUUGGUGAGGAACGGCUCACCAAGGCGACGAUCGGUAGCUGGUCUGAGAGGACGAUCAGCCACACUGGGACUGAGACACGGCCCAGACUCCUACGGGAGGCAGCAGUGGGGAAUCUUGCGCAAUGGGCGAAAGCCUGACGCAGCGACGCCGCGUGC
This 382-nucleotide ribosomal RNA is filed under the name uncultured bacterium. RNAcentral's name for it is "bacterial SSU rRNA". It matches the Rfam family "Bacterial small subunit ribosomal RNA", at positions 28 to 404 of the family's 1533-position model. The record is from RNAcentral.